GACGAACGCUGGCGGCGUGCUUAACACAUGCAAGUCGAACGAUGAAGCCCAGCUUGCUGGGUGGAAGAGUGGCGAACGGGUGAGUAACACGUGAGUAACCUGCCCUGAACUCUGGGAUAAGCACCGGAAACGGUGUCUAAUACUGGAUACGACCUAUCACCGCAUGGUGUGUGGGUGGAAAGAUUUAUCGGUUCUGGAUGGACUCGCGGCCUAUCAGCUAGAUGGUGAGGUAAUGGCUCACCAUGGCGACGACGGGUAGCCGGCCUGAGAGGGUGACCGGCCACACUGGGACUGAGACACGGCCCAGACUCCUACGGGAGGCAGCAGUGGGGAAUAUUGCACAAUGGGCGCAAGCCUGAUGCAGCAACGCCGCGUGAGGGAUGACGGCCUUCGGGUUGUAAACCUCUUUUAGUAGGGAAGAAGCGAAAGUGACGGUACCUGCAGAAAAAGCACCGGCUAACUACGUG
This 467-nucleotide ribosomal RNA is filed under the name uncultured bacterium. RNAcentral describes it as "partial 16S ribosomal RNA". It matches the Rfam family "Bacterial small subunit ribosomal RNA", at positions 28 to 507 of the family's 1533-position model. The record is from RNAcentral.